GUCCUUUUGUAUAUUUAUUUAAGGUCUGACCUGCCCAAUGAUUUAUAUUUAAUGGCUGCAGUAUUUUAACUGUACGAAGGUAGCAUAAUCAUUUGUUUAUUAAUUAUAGACUAGUAUAAAAGGUUUUAUAAAAAUUAGGCUUUCUUAUUUAUAUAUAUAUGAAUUUAAUUUUUUAAUUAAAAAGUUAAAAUUUUUUUAUAGGACGAGAAGACCCUAUAGAACUUUAAUUUAAAUAAAUAUAAUAUUACAUUUAUUUAAAUUAAAUUGGGGAGAUUUAGAUUUUUAUUUAACAAUUAUUUUUUUUUCAAUAAUUUUUGAUUUUUUGAUCCAAUUUUUUUGAUUAUAAGAUUAAGUUACCUUAGGGAUAACAGCGUAAUUUAAUUGGAGAGCUCUUAUCGAUAAUUAAAGUUUGCGA
This 415-nucleotide ribosomal RNA is filed under the name Membracioides sp. UCR ENT 00104906. RNAcentral's name for it is "partial large subunit ribosomal RNA". The record is from RNAcentral. Lineage: Eukaryota; Metazoa; Arthropoda; Insecta; Hemiptera; Schizopteridae.